RNAcentral lists this ribosomal RNA (403 nucleotides) under uncultured bacterium. RNAcentral describes it as "partial 16S ribosomal RNA". It matches the Rfam family "Bacterial small subunit ribosomal RNA", at positions 28 to 526 of the family's 1533-position model. The record is from RNAcentral.
GACGAACGCUGGCGGCGUGCCUAAUACAUGCAAGUCGAACGCAGUGGGGACGGGUGAGUAACACGUGGGUAACCUCCCAUCAGAGGGGAGAACACGUGGAAACAGGGGCUAAACCGAUACUGAUGGAUGAACUCGCGGUGCAUUAGCUAGUUGGUGAGGUAGCGGCCAACCAAGGCCACGAUGCAUAGCGGGCCUGAGAGGGUGAUCGGCCACACUGGGACUGAGAAACGGCCCAGACUCCUACGUGAGGCAGCAGUAGGGAAUCUUCGGCAAUGGACGAAAGUCUGACCGAGCAACGCCGCGUGAGUGAAGAAGGUUUUCGGAUCGUAAAACUCUGUUGUUAGAGAAGCGGUAUCUAACCAGAAAGCCACGGCUAACUACGUGCCAGCAGCCGCGGUAAUUC